This 87-nucleotide transfer RNA is filed under the name Alistipes sp. Its description in RNAcentral is "tRNA-Leu". It matches the Rfam family "tRNA". From Rfam's summary of the family: Transfer RNA (tRNA) molecules are approximately 80 nucleotides in length. Lineage: Bacteria; Pseudomonadati; Bacteroidota; Bacteroidia; Bacteroidales; Rikenellaceae. The record is from RNAcentral.
GCUCGAAUGGUGGAAUAGGUAGACACGCCGGACUUAAAAUCCUGUGACCAGUAAUGGUCGUGCCGGUUCGACCCCGGCUUCGAGUAC